AUUGAACGCUGGCGGCAUGCCUUACACAUGCAAGUCGAACGGCAGCACGGGUGCUUGCACCUGGUGGCGAGUGGCGAACGGGUGAGUAAUACAUCGGAACGUACCUUAUCGUGGGGGAUAACGCAGCGAAAGCUGUGCUAAUACCGCAUACGCCCUGAGGGGGAAAGCGGGGGAUCGAAAGACCUCGCGCGAUUAGAGCGGCCGAUGCCUGAUUAGCUUGUUGGUGGGGUAAAAGCCCACCAAGGCGACGAUCAGUAGCUGGUCUGAGAGGAAAAUCAGCCACACUGGGGAUGAGACACGGCCCAGACUCCUACGGGAGGCAGCAGUGGGGAGUGUUGGACAAUGGGGGCAACCCUGAGCCAGCAAUGCCGCGUGAGUGAAGAAGGCCUUCGGGUUGUAAAGCUCUUUUGUCAGGGAAGAAACACCGGCUCUAACACAGUCCGGGAAUGACGGUACCUGAAGGAUAAGCACCGGCUAACUACGUGCCAGCAGCCGCCGUAA
Molecule: ribosomal RNA, 501 nt
Filed under: uncultured bacterium
Lineage: Bacteria
Description: partial 16S ribosomal RNA
Rfam family: Bacterial small subunit ribosomal RNA
Source: RNAcentral